GAGGGUAUAGCUCAAGUGGUAAAGUGCGUGCUUAGCAUGCAUGAGGUCCUGGGUUCAAUCCCCAGUACCUCCU
RNAcentral lists this transfer RNA (73 nucleotides) under Camelus bactrianus (Bactrian camel). It matches the Rfam family "tRNA". Rfam says of the family: Transfer RNA (tRNA) molecules are approximately 80 nucleotides in length. Their secondary structure includes four short double-helical elements and three loops (D, anti-codon, and T loops). Further hydrogen bonds mediate the characteristic L-shaped molecular structure. tRNAs have two regions of fundamental functional importance: the anti-codon, which is responsible for specific mRNA codon recognition, and the 3' end, to which the tRNAs corresponding amino acid is attached (by aminoacyl-tRNA synthetases). tRNAs cope with the degeneracy of the genetic code in two manners: having more than one tRNA (with a specific anti-codon) for a particular amino acid; and 'wobble' base-pairing, i.e. permitting non-standard base-pairing at the 3rd anti-codon position. RNAcentral also lists the same sequence under 2 other names. The record is from Rfam by way of RNAcentral. Lineage: Eukaryota; Metazoa; Chordata; Mammalia; Artiodactyla; Camelidae.